UACGUAGGGUGCGAGCGUUAAUCGGAAUUACUGGGCGUAAAGCGUGCGCAGGCGGUGAGCUGUGUCCGAUGUGAAAGCCCCGGGCUUAACCUGGGAAUGGCAUUGGAAACUGGCUUGCUGGAGUGUGGCAGAGGGGGGUGGAAUUCCGCGUGUAGCAGUGAAAUGCGUAGAGAUGCGGAGGAACACCGAUGGCGAAGGCAGCCCCCUGGGCCAACACUGACGCUCAGGCACGAAAGCGUGGGGAGCAAACAGG
Molecule: ribosomal RNA, 253 nt
Filed under: uncultured bacterium
Lineage: Bacteria
Description: partial 16S ribosomal RNA
Rfam family: Bacterial small subunit ribosomal RNA
Source: RNAcentral